Molecule: ribosomal RNA, 452 nt
Filed under: uncultured bacterium
Lineage: Bacteria
Description: bacterial SSU rRNA
Rfam family: Bacterial small subunit ribosomal RNA
Source: RNAcentral
GAUGAACGCUGGCGGCGUGCCUAACACAUGCAAGUCGAGCGAUUCUCUUCGGAGAAGAGCGGCGGACGGGUGAGUAACGCGUGGGUAACCUGCCCUGUACACAUGGAUAACAUACCGAAAGGUAUGCUAAUACGAGAUAAUAUGCUUUUAUCGCAUGGUAGAAGUAUCAAAGCUUUUGCGGUACAGGAUGGACCCGCGUCUGAUUAGCUAGUUGGUAAGGUAACGGCUUACCAAGGCGACGAUCAGUAGCCGACCUGAGAGGGUGAUCGGCCACAUUGGAACUGAGACACGGUCCAAACUCCUACGGGAGGCAGCAGUGGGGAAUAUUGCACAAUGGGCGAAAGCCUGAUGCAGCAACGCCGCGUGAGCGAUGAAGGCCUUCGGGUCGUAAAGCUCUGUCCUCAAGGAAGAUAAUGACGGUACUUGAGGAGGAAGCCCCGGCUAACUACGUG